RNAcentral lists this ribosomal RNA (404 nucleotides) under Verrucomicrobiota bacterium. RNAcentral's name for it is "Verrucomicrobia bacterium partial 16S ribosomal RNA". It matches the Rfam family "Bacterial small subunit ribosomal RNA", at positions 355 to 776 of the family's 1533-position model. The record is from RNAcentral. Lineage: Bacteria; Pseudomonadati; Verrucomicrobiota.
UGGGGAAUAUUGCACAAUGGAGGGAACUCUGAUGCAGCGACGCCGCGUGAACGAAGAAGGCUUUCGAGUCGUAAAGUUCUUUUAUAUGGGAAGAUAAUGACGGUACCAUAAGAAAAAGCCCCGGCUAACUACGUGCCAGCAGCCGCGGUAAUACGUAGGUGGCAAGCGUUGUCCGGAAUUAUUGGGCGUAAAGCGCGCGCAGGUGGUUUAGAAAGUCUGAUGUGAAAGCCCACGGCUCAACCGUGGAGGGUCAUUGGAAACUAAUAAACUUGAGUGCAGGAGAGAAAAGUGGAAUUCCUAGUGUAGCGGUGAAAUGCGUAGAGAUUAGGAGGAACACCGGUGGCGAAAGCGGCUUUUUGGCCUGCAACUGACACUGAGGCGCGAAAGCGUGGGGAGCAAACAGG